GAAAAAAAACCCAAAACGGAAGGAGUAGUUUCUCAAACACAUCGGAGAUCACGGAGGUCCCCAUAGGAAUGAAUGAAAUUACGGUUGACUCACAUUCACACACUCGCAGUACACAGAGAUACUGUAUGUGGAAACAAGGCGUCAACACCUGAGGUAUGUAGGAAUGUUUGGAGAAAAACCCCCAGUAAUUUAAGGGUUAAUGUAAAGAGUCACACCAUUUCUGAUCAUUCUUAUAUUGGGCUUGCAUGUUGCCAUACUUCUAAGUAAGCCAAAUGAAGUUCACUUCUGUGUUUUGCCUCCAUAAUUUAGAGACUACUUCCAUCCUGACUGAACUCUCACAGAGAUGCAGAGCAGCCAGCUCCUCACUAUUACGUGGAGAGAGAUCAGGCAGCUACUGUGGAAGUCACAGGUGAAGUUCAACAGUGUUUCAGUUCAGAAACACUGUUGUGAUAAAACUGCUCUCAUCUCACAGCGACAUAGAGAAGCCAGCCCGCGAGGGUCUAAGAUCUCCGAGGAAACAACCUCCCGACUCGUUCACAGUCUAGACUGAAGACAGAAGGGAACUGACCCUUCAGUGCUCUAUAUCAAACACAGACAUUUAUAUAACUGCCUUUCAUCUGUGUAUGAUGCAGCAUUUUUAUUGCACUCUCUAAAGACGGAAAAUGUGAAAAUAAA
Long non-coding RNA from Sebastes umbrosus (honeycomb rockfish), 675 nucleotides. RefSeq lists it as uncharacterized. NCBI's taxonomy places the organism in Eukaryota, Metazoa, Chordata, Actinopteri, Perciformes, Sebastidae. The transcript is spliced from 3 exons. The record is from RefSeq and is a predicted model, not a curated record.